This 297-nucleotide ribosomal RNA is filed under the name uncultured bacterium. Its description in RNAcentral is "partial 16S ribosomal RNA". It matches the Rfam family "Bacterial small subunit ribosomal RNA", at positions 51 to 326 of the family's 1533-position model. The record is from RNAcentral.
CCGCGUGGAUGGAGGCAUGCAAGUCGCACGGUAUGUGGGCAACUGCAUAUAGUGGCGUAAGGGUUAGUAAUACAUAGAUAAUCUGCCUUUUACCUGGGAAUAACGGCUGGAAACGGCCGCUAAUACCGAAUGAGGUUUAUAUGGGGCAUCUCAGAUAAAUCAAAGCGGGGGAUCGAAAGACCUUGUGGUGGAAGAAGAGUCUAUGGGAUAUCAGCUAGUUGGUGAGGUAAAGGCUCACCAAGGCUAAGACGUCUAGGCGGAUUGAGAGAUUGACCGCCAACACCUGGGACUGAAUGU